AACGAACGCUGGCGGCAUGCCUAACACAUGCAAGUCGAACGGUGGUUUCGGGCAUAGUGGUGCACUGGUGGGUAACGCGUGGGAAUCUGCCCUUGGGUUCGGAAGAACAGGGGGAAAUUGGUGCGGAUACCGGCUGAUGUCUUCGAACCAAAGAUUGAGCGCACAGGGGUGAGCCCGCGUAGGAUUAGCUAGAUGGUGGGGUAAGGGGCUACCAAGGCGACGAGGGUUAGCUGGUAUGAGAGGAUGAGCAGCCACACUGGUACUGAGACACGGCCCAGACUCCUACGGGAGGCAGCAGUGGGGAAUAUUGGAAUGUGGGCGGAAGGCUGAUGGAGCACUGACGGGUGAGUGAUGAAGGUCUGAGGGUUGGAAAGUUCGUUUACACGGGAUGAUAUUGACAUUACCGGGAGAAUAAGCUCCGGCUAACUCCGUG
This 433-nucleotide ribosomal RNA is filed under the name uncultured bacterium. Its description in RNAcentral is "partial 16S ribosomal RNA". It matches the Rfam family "Bacterial small subunit ribosomal RNA", at positions 29 to 507 of the family's 1533-position model. The record is from RNAcentral.